Molecule: long non-coding RNA, 1723 nt
Filed under: Taeniopygia guttata (zebra finch)
Lineage: Eukaryota; Metazoa; Chordata; Aves; Passeriformes; Estrildidae
Description: lncRNA (ENSTGUG00000027169.1)
Source: RNAcentral
CUUUUUUUUUUUUCUUUUUUUUUUUUCCACUUCAAAAAAUGGCUGGGCAUAGCCGAAUAAUAAAAACUUGCUCCUGUGAAAACAGAAUUGGAGCACUGGAGCAGUGGAGACUCAGCUGACUUUCUUUUCUUUGUUCUUCACCAUCAAUAACACCCAUGAAAUUAAUAUUUUAAAGUAAAUAAAAGGAGAGAGAAGAAAGAAUAAAUAAUAUGAUCGGUGAUUAAUCUAAUAAUCUUAUGGUAAUACUGGCAAUAACCAUUGUUGCUUUAAAGCAUGAUGUACAGUGCUUUUUGAUUAAAACUUCAUGGAAAAAAUGCAUGUUCUGCUUCUUAAAUAUCUUAAUUAAAAUAAUUUUACUAACAGAUACCUCCUUUCCCAGUUGCCUAUGAAUUGAGUAAUACUAGAUAGAAACAAAUGGCUAGGUAAGUGAAUCAAAAGGAGACACUUCUGAUGAAUGUCCAGAGGCAGUUCUGUAUAUUAUAUGCUGAAACCUUGUAAUUACAUAGUGAAGCCUAAAUUCAAAUGUUGCAUCAACUACCUGUUGACUUUAUUAGAUCAGUACUUCUUUAUUACCUCUUAGAUUUUUUGGGAGGCAUCCAUAAAUAUCUAAACCCCUGCUAAGAAUAUAAAUCCAGAGGUGAUGAACUCUAUUUCAUUACAGAGAUUUAUGCCUUUAACAAGAAAAGAGAAUAUUUGAUAUUAAUAAUAAAGAUCUUCACAAAUUUCCUAAGGAUUUACUUGACUAUAUCAUCCUGUGCAGUUACUCUAUUCAUCCCCAAUUUCAUGUGCUUUUUGAAGACUCAUAAUUCAUCUUCUCUAUUUUGUUAAAUAAGAGAUUUCAGAAGUCACAGAACAUCUCUCUCUGUGCACGUGUGUCUGCAUGUGAAUGUGCAUGUACAUGCAGGGAAGUUUCUCCCCACAUUGGACUCAGAGCCACACCAAUCCACACACAACUCUGUUUUCUCGAUUUUUUUCCCCCAGAAUGUUUCCACAGAUGUCUGUGGUUGAGGUAUCCAUGCCUACUCUGAAUGCUCAAUGAAAAAUAUACAGAUAUUGGUUUCCCCACUGCUCAAGGAACUAAUUUUUGAGACUUAUUUCACCUCCAGAAAUAGCUGAGUGCCUGCACUAUUUAGACUUUAAUUAUAGUGAUGGGAACUAUAUGUAAUUGUCUUACCAGAUAUUGAAUUCUUUCCACAUCUGGUAUUAACAUGAAGUGAGGAAAUAGGCAGGAAAAGAGGAAUUAGAGGUAAAGAAAGGUAGAAAUGGAUAUUCAUUCCUAAAGGUAUGCACCAAGGCUGUGGGAGCUAUGUCCUUUUCAUAAUAUUUCCACUGUCCCUCAGUUUCUUCCUAAAAAUGUCAUUUGAGCAGGUGGCCAGAAAACAAAGCAAGCAAACUCAUGAGCAACUAAAAGAAAACUUGGUCUUAUUAUUUCAUAGCUGAAAGUCCAAAACUAAGACACUAAAUGUAGGAAAAAAAAAUGAAGUUUUUUUGACCUUUGUCCUUUGCACACCAGCUAGAUCAUUUUCCCCACUGUGAUGGAUAAGCAUAGCAAAAAGGGAAUGAAGCCAUGGCAAGCAUGUCCAAAAUCUUCAUUUCCAAGCCUUCUGUUUCCUUCUGAGAAAGGGAGUAACCUCUGCAUGUUACAUUAUUAGGCUGCAUCUAAGAAAUAUCGUGUCUCCUUCCCAUCAUGCUUUACAGCAAACCAAGGACAUGCAAAUCAUGA